UACGUAGGCAGCGAGCGUUGUUCGGAAUUAUUGGGCGUAAAGCGCGCGCAGGCGGUCCUUUAAGUCUGAUGUGAAAGCCCACGGCUCAACCGUGGAGGGUCAUUGGAAACUGGGGGACUUGAGUGCAGAAGAGGAAAGCGGAAUUCCACGUGUAGCGGUGAAAUGCGUAGAGAUGUGGAGGAACACCAGUGGCGAAGGCGGCUUUCUGGUCUGUAACUGACGCUGAGGCGCGAAAGCGUGGGGAGCAAACAGG
RNAcentral lists this ribosomal RNA (253 nucleotides) under uncultured bacterium. Its description in RNAcentral is "partial 16S ribosomal RNA". It matches the Rfam family "Bacterial small subunit ribosomal RNA", at positions 524 to 776 of the family's 1533-position model. The record is from RNAcentral.